Molecule: small RNA, 115 nt
Filed under: Alkalihalophilus pseudofirmus OF4
Lineage: Bacteria; Bacillati; Bacillota; Bacilli; Caryophanales; Bacillaceae
Description: Bacillus pseudofirmus OF4 BsrF
Rfam family: BsrF
Source: Rfam by way of RNAcentral
GCGAUGAGCUAAUUUGCAUAAGACGAGAUUGACGCGCCUUUUAGGCAAGGCACUAUGUGGAGUGCUGUCUCUCGCCGCAAUACGCACAAAAGACGCCUUUAUUUAUAAAGGCGUC